AACGUAGCAGCUUGAAUAUCACGGUUGAUAUUUAAGCCUGUGAUGUGGGUGUCCUUUUUAUUUGCGCCAGCGAUAAGCCCGGGGCAGGUGUCGAGCAACCGUUAAUCCCGGGAUCUCCGAAUGGGGCAACCCGGCGGAACUGGGCAACCAGAUUCCGUCAUCGGCGGCUGAAUGCAUAGGCCGUCCGAGGCGAACGCAGGGAACUGAAACAUCUUAGUACCUGCAGGAAAGGAAAUCAACCGAGACUCCGUAAGUAGCGGCGAGCGAAAGCGGACUAGCCCAAACCUCCUAUGCUUUCUUGCGAAAGCAAGAAUAGGAGGGGUUGUGGACGCCGAUAAGGAAGCCCAUUUUGCAGUUUACUGCAAAUGGGUAACCAUGCAGUUACAAAGGCAUCGUUAGCAGAACGGGCUGGAAAGCCCGGCCAUAGAAGGUGAUAGCCCUGUAUGCGAAAACGAGAGCCCUGCAUAUUGUCGGCGAUCCAGAGUA
Molecule: ribosomal RNA, 486 nt
Filed under: Ghiorsea sp.
Lineage: Bacteria; Pseudomonadati; Pseudomonadota; Candidatius Mariprofundia; Mariprofundales
Description: partial 23S ribosomal RNA
Rfam family: Bacterial large subunit ribosomal RNA
Source: RNAcentral